Molecule: ribosomal RNA, 645 nt
Filed under: uncultured bacterium
Lineage: Bacteria
Description: bacterial SSU rRNA
Rfam family: Bacterial small subunit ribosomal RNA
Source: RNAcentral
CGCGGCCUAUCAGCUUGUUGGUGGGGUGAUGGCCUACCAAGGCUGCGACGGGUAGCCGGCCUGAGAGGGUGUCCGGCCACACUGGGACUGAGAUACGGCCCAGACUCCUACGGGAGGCAGCAGUGGGGAAUAUUGCACAAUGGGCGCAAGCCUGAUGCAGCGACGCCGCGUGGGGGAUGACGGCCUUCGGGUUGUAAACCUCUUUCACCAUCGACGAAGCCUUCGGGUGACGGUAGGUGGAGAAGAAGCACCGGCCAACUACGUGCCAGCAGCCGCGGUAAUACGUAGGGUGCGAGCGUUGUCCGGAAUUACUGGGCGUAAAGAGCUCGUAGGUGGUUUGUCGCGUUGUUCGUGAAAUGCCACAGCUUAACUGUGGGCGUGCGGGCGAUACGGGCAGACUGGAGUACUGCAGGGGAGACUGGAAUUCCUGGUGUAGCGGUGGAAUGCGCAGAUAUCAGGAGGAACACCGGUGGCGAAGGCGGGUCUCUGGGCAGUAACUGACGCUGAGGAGCGAAAGCGUGGGGAGCGAACAGGAUUAGAUACCCUGGUAGUCCACGCCGUAAACGGUGGGUACUAGGUGUGGGUUUCCUUCCUUGGGAUCCGUGCCGUAGCUAACGCAUUAAGUACCCCGCCUGGGAGUACGGA